UGGAUCCGUUAGGAACCACCCUUUAUUGCGAGAACCGCGAAAACCAAUGUUUUUCUAUCAUUUUCCAAAGGCAUUAAUUUCUAUGUUUUUAUUAGAGGUUCCAUCAUUUUCCAAAGGCAUUAAUUUCUAUGUUUUUCUUAGAGGUUCCAUCAUUUUUCAAAGGCAUUAGUUUCUAUUUGUAUACUCUCUUAAAAGAACUUUGAUCUUGUUUAGUUCACAACAUAGAAUCAACUCGAAGUAGAAUUAAUAUGAAUUUACACUAGAAACGUUUGUUUGGCUGUUGUGAUGAAACUGGAAUUCUUUUCCUUCGUCAAUGGAUUUUAGCAUUCCAUUAUCGUAGUGAAGGAAUUCCAGUAGUUCACCAAAACAUUUUUCGAGGCAUAUAUUCACUAAUUCUCUAAAUCAAACUCAUAAACAUAUAAUAUGUUCAUCUAAUUAAGACAUAUAACAUUCAAGGGAUUCAACAAUUUAUCUCCUAAGAAAUUGGAGGUUGGCGGUGACUAAGAAGAAGAAGAAGGGUCAUGACUAGAGACAUGGAUGUGGUGGUCGGUUGGGUGGCACAGCUACAGUCGUGGGCAGGUUUGGAUUGGCGGAGGCUGUGAUGCAACUUAGUUCUGUGUGGGAACUAGGUUGAUAUGUUACAAUGAUUAACAUCCCUAAUAUGUUUUUCAAGUUUGCAUUUUAAACUAAAGAACAAACCAAAACUAAAAAAAAAAACGUCAGGAUUCGGCUUCAAACUCGAAACAUUAUAUAAAGUUUCAUCUAGGGCUGCAAACGAAUCGAACGGACACGAACAAGACCUUGUUCGUGUUCAUUUGUUAAGAAAUAUAUGUGUUCGCGAACCAUUCACGAACACUUGUCGAACGAGAUAUGUUCAUGUUCGUUUGUUAAGGAAAUGAAUUUGUUCGUGU
RNAcentral lists this long non-coding RNA (911 nucleotides) under Helianthus annuus (common sunflower). Its description in RNAcentral is "hypothetical non coding rna". Lineage: Eukaryota; Viridiplantae; Streptophyta; Magnoliopsida; Asterales; Asteraceae. The record is from RNAcentral.